UGGGGAAUAUUGGACAAUGGGCGCAAGCCUGAUCCAGCCAUGCCGCGUGAGUGAUGAAGGCCCUAGGGUUGUAAAGCUCUUUUGUGCGGGAAGAUAAUGACGGUACCGCAAGAAUAAGCCCCGGCUAACUUCGUGCCAGCAGCCGCGGUAAUACGAAGGGGGCUAGCGUUGCUCGGAAUCACUGGGCGUAAAGGGUGCGUAGGCGGGUCUUUAAGUCAGGGGUGAAAUCCUGGAGCUCAACUCCAGAACUGCCUUUGAUACUGAGGGUCUUGAGUUCGGGAGAGGUGAGUGGAACUGCGAGUGUAGAGGUGAAAUUCGUAGAUAUUCGCAAGAACACCAGUGGCGAAGGCGGCCCACUGGCCCGAUACUGACGCUGAGGCACGAAAGCGUGGGGAGCAAACA
This 402-nucleotide ribosomal RNA is filed under the name uncultured bacterium. Its description in RNAcentral is "bacterial SSU rRNA". It matches the Rfam family "Bacterial small subunit ribosomal RNA", at positions 355 to 774 of the family's 1533-position model. The record is from RNAcentral.